This 962-nucleotide long non-coding RNA is filed under the name Salmo trutta (river trout). RNAcentral's name for it is "lncRNA (ENSSTUG00000021225.1)". Lineage: Eukaryota; Metazoa; Chordata; Actinopteri; Salmoniformes; Salmonidae. The record is from RNAcentral.
CCAUCCACUCCUCGAACACAACCACUUUACAUCUAUGAUUCCUACCCCUCUCCUCAGGACACUCAUGCCUCUCCAGAAGGAAACCCUCAGAGACGUCUGGACAGACGACAGGUCUCAAGAAAGUCAAGAUGUGUCCACUCCACAUAAGAUAAUGCUUUCUAUAAGCCAAAGAAGAAGGCAGAGUCAGCCAACCCAGCCACCAAUGGUGCCGACGCCAAGCCCAAAAAGAGCAAGAACAAGAAGAGCGAAGAACUGUCUGGAGAAGAGAGUCCUGCUGUUCAAAGUACGGACUGCUCUGCACAGUUUAAAUAACAGAAUCUUCAAAUGAGACAUACGCAAAUUAUUGUUUAAAAGUUCGCCAACAAUUUGGCAAAAUGCUGGUGAUCCACAAAUAAAUAAUUUCUAUCUGAGAUAGUGUGCAGUAUCCAAAUGUGAUGAAUAAAUAUGGCUAUCGCUCAAAAUAUGAAUUUCUUAGGAGGUCAUCUCUCAAUUCUGUUUUUUUUGGGGGGUCAAAUAGGUGGAAAAAAGGUAAAGAAAAAGAAACCAGAUGAAGAAAAAACAGAAAAGGAAAAAGUGAAAGGGAAAGAGAAAGAAGAGCCAAAGAAGAAAACAAAAAGUGUGCCAAAGAAAAAGAGAGGUAAGCAGUCAGCAAUAUAACUGAGAUGAUGCUCUGCGUGAACUGCAUGUUAAAGAAUCAACAUUUAUUUCAAACCCAAUAAAAAAGUCCCCUUUUCUGCUCAAGGUUCAGAUACAGAAGAAGAUGAUGAUGAGGAAGAGACUCCACAAAAGAAGACAAAGAAAAAGACCACCAAAGAUGGUUCUGACAAAGAUGGCAAGGAUAAGAAAUCCAAAGCUAAAGGUGGGCAGAUGUAUAGGAGUUACUAAAACAACAAGAAUACGACAUGGUUUAAGAGGAUUAGAUAGAAGAUUUCUUUGCGAAAUGUUGAGUGAAAGGAAACACU